UGGGGAAUAUUGGACAAUGGGCGAAAGCCUGAUCCAGCCAUGCCGCGUGUGUGAAGAAGGCCCUCGGGUCGUAAAGCACUUUAAGUUGGGAGGAAGGGCUUACAGCGAAUACCUGUGAGUUUUGACGUUACCGACAGAAUAAGCACCGGCUAACUUCGUGCCAGCAGCCGCGGUAAUACGAAGGGUGCAAGCGUUAAUCGGAAUUACUGGGCGUAAAGCGCGCGUAGGUGGCUUGAUAAGUUGGAUGUGAAAUCCCCGGGCUCAACCUGGGAACUGCAUCCAAAACUGUCUGGCUAGAGUGUGGUAGAGGGUAGUGGAAUUUCCAGUGUAGCGGUGAAAUGCGUUAGAUAUUGGAAGGAACACCAGUGGCGAAGGCGAACUACCUGGACUAACACUGACACUGAGGUGCGAAAAGCGUGGGGAGCAAAAACA
RNAcentral lists this ribosomal RNA (432 nucleotides) under uncultured Pseudomonadaceae bacterium. RNAcentral describes it as "bacterial SSU rRNA". It matches the Rfam family "Bacterial small subunit ribosomal RNA", at positions 355 to 776 of the family's 1533-position model. The record is from RNAcentral. Lineage: Bacteria; Pseudomonadati; Pseudomonadota; Gammaproteobacteria; Pseudomonadales; Pseudomonadaceae.